GUCGAACGAGCUUCCGUUGAAUGACGUGCUUGCACUGAUUUCAACAAUGAAGCGAGUGGCGAACUGGUGAGUAACACGUGGGGAAUCUGCCCAGAAGCAGGGGAUAACACUUGGAAACAGGUGCUAAUACCGUAUAACAACAAAAUCCGCAUGGAUUUUGUUUGAAAGGUGGCUUCGGCUAUCACUUCUGGAUGAUCCCGCGGCGUAUUAGUUAGUUGGUGAGGUAAAGGCCCACCAAGACGAUGAUACGUAGCCGACCUGAGAGGGUAAUCGGCCACAUUGGGACUGAGACACGGCCCAAACUCCUACGGGAGGCAGCAGUAGGGAAUCUUCCACAAUGGACGAAAGUCUGAUGGAGCAAUGCCGCGUGAGUGAAGAAGGGUUUCGGCUCGUAAAACUCUGUUGUUAAAGAAGAACACCUUUGAGAGUAACUGUUCAAGGGUUGACGGUAUUUAACCAGAAAGCCACGGCUAACUACGUGCCAGCAGCCGCGGUAAUACGUAGGUGGCAAGCGUUGUCCGGAUUUAUUGGGCGUAAAGCGAGCGCAGGCGGUUUUUUAAGUCUGAUGUGAAAGCCUUCGGCUUAACCGGAGAAGUGCAUCGGAAACUGGGAGACUUGAGUGCAGAAGAGGACAGUGGAACUCCAUGUGUAGCGGUGGAAUGCGUAGAUAUAUGGAAGAACACCAGUGGCGAAGGCGGCUGUCUAGUCUGUAACUGACGCUGAGGCUCGAAAGCAUGGGUAGCGAACAGGAUUAGAUACCCUGGUAGUCCAUGCCGUAAACGAUGAGUGCUAAGUGUUGGAGGGUUUCCGCCCUUCAGUGCUGCAGCUAACGCAUUAAGCACUCCGCCUGGGGAGUACGACCGCAAGGGUUGAAACUCAAAGGAAAUUGACGGGGGCCCGCACAAGCGG
Molecule: ribosomal RNA, 909 nt
Filed under: Lactobacillus sp. 14.2.15
Lineage: Bacteria; Bacillati; Bacillota; Bacilli; Lactobacillales; Lactobacillaceae
Description: bacterial SSU rRNA
Rfam family: Bacterial small subunit ribosomal RNA
Source: RNAcentral